Molecule: non-coding RNA, 83 nt
Organism: Syngnathus typhle (broad-nosed pipefish)
Lineage: Eukaryota; Metazoa; Chordata; Actinopteri; Syngnathiformes; Syngnathidae
Source: the annotation of a RefSeq genome assembly
GUUGUCGUGGCCGAGUGGUUAAGGCGAUGGACUUGAAAUUCAUUGGGGUUUCCCCCGCGCAGGUUCAAAUCCUGCCGACAACG